RNAcentral lists this small RNA (482 nucleotides) under Pongo abelii (Sumatran orangutan). RNAcentral describes it as "processed transcript". Lineage: Eukaryota; Metazoa; Chordata; Mammalia; Primates; Hominidae. The record is from RNAcentral.
UGAGCAGCUGCAGUCGGAGAAAUCAGAGAAAGCGUCACCCAGCCCCAGAUUCCGAGAGGCCUGCCAGGGACUCUCUCCUCCUGCUCCUUGGAAAGGAAGACCCCGAAAGACCCCCAAGCCACCGGCUCAGACCUGCUUCUGGGCUGCCAUGGGACUCGCAGCCACUGCCCCCCGGCUGUCCUCCACGCUGCCGGGCAGAUAAGGGCAGCUGCUCCCUUGGGGCACCUGCCCGCUCCCACAGCCCGGCCACUCCUCCAGGGCCAGCCCUUCCCUGACUCAGUGGCCACCUCUGCUGCCCCGAGGCCAUGUAGGCCGUGCUUAGGCCUCUGUGGACACACUGCUGGGGACGGCGCCUGAGCUCUCAGGGGGACGAGGAACACCACCAUGCCCCGGGGCUUCGCCUUGCUGCGCUAAACACUACUUCCCCAUCAACUACAAGAUCAGUGUGCCUUACGAGGGGGUGUUCAGAAUCGCCAACGUCA